GACGAACGCUGGCGGCGUGCUUAACACAUGCAAGUCGAACGGAAAGGCCCUGCUUUUGUGGGGUGCUCGAGUGGCGAACGGGUGAGUAACACGUGAGUAACCUGCCCUUGACUUUGGGAUAACUUCAGGAAACUGGGGCUAAUACCGGAUAGGAGCUCCUGCUGCAUGGUGGGGGUUGGAAAGUUUCGGCGGUUGGGGAUGGACUCGCGGCUUAUCAGCUUGUUGGUGGGGUAGUGGCUUACCAAGGCUUUGACGGGUAGCCGGCCUGAGAGGGUGACCGGCCACAAUGGGACUGAGAUACGGCGCAGACUCCUACGGGAGGCAGAAGUGGGGAAUAUUGCACAAUGGGCGGAAGCCUGAUGCAGCAACGCCGCGUGCGGGAUGACGGCCUUCGGGUUGUAAACCGCUUUCGCCUGUGACGAAGCGUGAGUGACGGUAAUGGGUAAAGAAGCACCGGCUAACUACGUG
RNAcentral lists this ribosomal RNA (468 nucleotides) under uncultured bacterium. RNAcentral describes it as "partial 16S ribosomal RNA". It matches the Rfam family "Bacterial small subunit ribosomal RNA", at positions 28 to 507 of the family's 1533-position model. The record is from RNAcentral.